RNAcentral lists this ribosomal RNA (202 nucleotides) under Clostridioides difficile. RNAcentral describes it as "partial 23S ribosomal RNA". It matches the Rfam family "Bacterial large subunit ribosomal RNA", at positions 690 to 891 of the family's 2925-position model. Lineage: Bacteria; Bacillati; Bacillota; Clostridia; Peptostreptococcales; Peptostreptococcaceae. The record is from RNAcentral.
GAGCGUUCAGUUACUUGACGUAGACCCGAAACCGGGCGACCUACCCAUGAGCAGGAUGAAGCGAAAGUAAAAUUGCGUGGAGGUCCGAACCCACGAGCGUUGAAAAGCUCGGGGAUGACUUGUGGGUAGCGGUGAAAUUCCAAUCGAGCCCGGAGAUAGCUGGUUCUCCCCGAAAUAGCUUUAGGGCUAGCCUCAAGGUGAG